Molecule: ribosomal RNA, 253 nt
Filed under: uncultured bacterium
Lineage: Bacteria
Description: partial 16S ribosomal RNA
Rfam family: Bacterial small subunit ribosomal RNA
Source: RNAcentral
GACAGAGGCCUCAAGCGUUAGGCGGUAUCACUGGGCUUAAAGCGUGUGUAGGCGGGUCGUUAAGUGUCUUGUGAAAUCCCCCGGCUCAACCGGGGAAUGGCUGGGCAUACUGGCGAUCUUGAGCAGUCUAGGGGCAGAUGGAACAGACGGUGGAGCGGUGAAAUGCGUAGAUAUCGUCUGGAACGCCAAAGGUGAAGACAGUCUGCUGGGGACUUGCUGACGCUGAGACACGAAAGCCAGGGGAGCGAACGGG